GAUGAACGCUGGCGGCGUGCCUAAUACAUGCAAGUCGAACGGACGGACGCGAAGCUUGCUUCUUUGAUGUUAGCGGCAGGCGGGUGUGUAACGCGUGGAUCACCUACCUAUAUUACGGGGAAAAUUUCGGGAAACCGGCGCUAAUCCCGGAUAAUAUUUUGCACCGCAUGGUUCAAUGGUAAAUGACGGCCUUGCUGUCAGUUAUAGAUGGUUACGCGCUGCAUUAGCUAGUUGGUAAGGUAACGGCCUACCAAGGCAACGAUGCAUGGCCGACCUGAGAGGGUGAUCGGCCACACGGGAACGGAGACACGGUCCAGACUCCUACGGGAGGCAGCAGUAGGGAAUCUGACGCAAUGGGCGAAAGCCUGACGGAGCAACGCCGCGUGAGUGAUGAAGGCCUUCGGAGCGUAAAGCUCUGUUAUUGGGGAAGAACAGAUGUGGAAUUAACCGUGCACAGCGUGACGGUACCGAAUCAGGAAGCAACGGCUAACUACGUG
RNAcentral lists this ribosomal RNA (497 nucleotides) under uncultured bacterium. RNAcentral describes it as "partial 16S ribosomal RNA". It matches the Rfam family "Bacterial small subunit ribosomal RNA", at positions 28 to 507 of the family's 1533-position model. The record is from RNAcentral.